GUACACUAUGUAACUUUUUAUGUUCAAAAUUAACACUUUAAAUGUCCACAUCAGUCCUUCUUCCAAAACGUGUUUUUGUCUUUGAUUAACUAUGGUAAGCCUAUUAUAAGUGUUUAUAUUUUAGACCGAGCAGGAUGGUUUUCGCGGGAAAUCGCAUACACACGCUCACCUAUGUGUGUUUUGUCAUAUCCGUAAAUAGAGAAAAGUUGCUCUGGCUACUUUGACGCGUGUAUGGUGUAGGAGCGACUUUUGUUGUCACAAUGUUGCAGAAAGGUUGACAUGGAGCAUGCUAAAUCUCGAACCUCUUCGUGUAUAAGCCUAGUAGUGAAUGCUUUAUGAGCAGUAGGAUAAUCUAUCUCUUUUUUAUUUAUGAGAAAGAACCAUAUUCAACUGCACAUUCAUGCAGAGGCAAAGCACAACCAAACAUAUGUUCUUCCGCAAAAUCCAGGUUUUUUUUAACCACUAGAGGGCCAAAAGUUAAAUCGUGUACCUUUUAAUAAUUGUUCAAAUUUAAUCAUUUUCAUGUUGUACAGUUACCUUGAUGCAUUAGCAUCAGUUUCACACUUAAUUGUUUGUUGCAAAUGACCUCAAAGCUGCCUGUAAGCACAGAGCUGUAUGGAUGAAAAACACAUUAAAUGCAGGAAUAUUCAAAUAAACCGUGACAAAAGCAAUUAGUAAGGUUUGUAACACGAGAAAAGUAAACAUGAAAAUAUACAAAUGAUAACAUGAAAAAGGUGAUAACAGACAGUAUUUCUAGAUGACAGAAUACAGAUGAUUUUGAUAGUGGUAACACGGUUAGUAAGAGGUAAGAGUAAGAGGAAAAGAAUAUCAAAAUGAGAAAACAUACUGAUUUAAAUUGGUCUAGAAUAUUAUGAAGACUUACAAUAUGAAAUAUUUUGUCUAAACUGUCUACCAAGUAUGAUUUCAUUAAAAACAAAAAAGGACCUUUUAAUAAUCAUGCUGUUCAUAUAAUACAGUAAAGGUAUUCAGGUGUCUGCAUAAAAGCAUGCUAGAUUUAUGAAUUGUAGCUUUCAGAAAGCACAGCUUAAACCUAUUGAGAAAGCUGAAAA
Molecule: long non-coding RNA, 1070 nt
Organism: Rhinichthys klamathensis goyatoka
Lineage: Eukaryota; Metazoa; Chordata; Actinopteri; Cypriniformes; Leuciscidae
Exons: 2
Source: RefSeq, a predicted model, not a curated record